Molecule: long non-coding RNA, 610 nt
Filed under: Salvia miltiorrhiza (redroot sage)
Lineage: Eukaryota; Viridiplantae; Streptophyta; Magnoliopsida; Lamiales; Lamiaceae
Description: long non-coding RNA (SMIL_LNC005333)
Source: RNAcentral
UAUUAUUUGAAUUUAUCUGACUAGGUGCGGCGCGACUAGGAUAUGAAUUUUAAUUGUAUUACUCAAGUUAGCAUUCAAGUUGAAGUUCAAGUUCAAGUUAAAUUUCCAGGUGUGGGAUUUAUUUCAGUACAUGCACGUGGUUAAUAUUUGUCCAUUUUAAUAUUAUGUGUUUACCGUAUGUGUUGUAAAAAUAUUUAUCGCUAGGGGCCAGCAUAAUUGGUCCAGGACUUCACCGUCCUUGGUAUGCCACAAUGCGAUUUCAUGUUACAGGGUUGCAACCAUUAUAUUGUCGCCAGGGGCCCACAUAUAGGGUCCGGGACAUUAAAGUCCUUGGAUUGCCACAGUGCGUAUGGAAGUUAUGUUACGUUAUGACAAUAUGUGUUACCAUUUUAUUAACAUGGACAAUUAUUGCAUGUUCCCACACUGAGUGUACCCUGUAUGCUCAUCCCAUAUUCAACAGUUUCAGGUGAUUGAUAUCGGAGGCGCGUGGAGAGUCGAAUGGGCGCGUCGAAUCUAUUUAAAGAUAAAUGUUUCCUAAAACAUAUUAUGUUAUUUCAUGUGAUAUCUCUUGAUUAUGUAAACUCUGAAAUUCUAUACUAUUUGAGAUUUG